GAUGAAGAACGUAGCGAAAUGCGAUAAGUAGUGUGAAUUGCAGAAUUCAGUGAAUCAUCGAAUCUUUGAACGCACAUUGCGCCCCAUGGUAUUCCGUGGGGUAUGCCUGUUCGAGCGUCAUUUACCCCCUCAAGCUCCGCUUGGUGUUGGGCGUCUGUCCCGCUUCGCGCGCGGACUCGCCCCAAAGGUAUUGGCAGCGGUCGUACCAGCUUCUCGCGCAGCACAUUGCGCUUCUCGAGGCACCGGUGGGCCCGCGUCCAUCAAGCUCACCCCCCCAGUUUGACCUCGGAUCAGGUAGGGAUAACCGCUGAACUUAAGCAUAUCAAUAAGCGGAGGA
This 337-nucleotide unclassified non-coding RNA is filed under the name soil metagenome. Its description in RNAcentral is "partial contains 5.8S ribosomal RNA, internal transcribed spacer 2, and large subunit ribosomal RNA". The stretch from base 1 to 120 matches the Rfam family "5.8S ribosomal RNA", at positions 35 to 154 of the family's 154-position model. The record is from RNAcentral.